AAAAAAAAAAAAAGGCAGGGAACUGCCCCGCGGAUGGUGGUGCGGGAGCAGAGGGGCCGGCACGGAGCGCAGGACGGGCAGAGACACGGGGCCCCCUCACCGUGUGGAACACUGGGCCUCACAUAAACCAGGCAGGAGAGAUGUUUCCAAGAUGGGAUCAUUUCACACCAGAACUCAUAUACUGAAACCCUAAUUAAUAUUGAAAAGUCUGUGCUCUGCCAUGUCCUCAGAUCCAUGGAAUUGGG
RNAcentral lists this long non-coding RNA (245 nucleotides) under Manacus vitellinus (golden-collared manakin). RNAcentral's name for it is "lncRNA (ENSMVIG00005002420.1)". Lineage: Eukaryota; Metazoa; Chordata; Aves; Passeriformes; Pipridae. The record is from RNAcentral.